Long non-coding RNA from Cryptotermes secundus, 709 nucleotides. RefSeq lists it as uncharacterized. Lineage: Eukaryota; Metazoa; Arthropoda; Insecta; Blattodea; Kalotermitidae. The transcript has 2 exons. The record is from RefSeq and is a predicted model, not a curated record.
GUUUAAUGUUAAACACAAAGUUUGGGACCAAGUGUGUUUGUUGCAGGUACCCAGCUGUGUGCAUGCACGGGGACAAAUCCCAGCAAGAAAGAGAUUACGUUCUGAGAGAAUUCCGCAACGGAAAGUCGAAUAUCCUGGUUGCCACCGAUGUGGCCGCACGAGGUCUAGGUCAGUCCCAUUUCCCUACAUAACAUAUCUUGCCUUGUUUGAUGGGGCACGUGAGUACUUGGUAUUUUGCUUGGCGUAAAGUUGGUAAGGCAACAGGUAAAUGCAGUGCGAUAGUAGUCCAGACUGGUUGAUAACUUUCUUAGUAAGAGUGGAUCGUUUGAUGGAGGUCGUAAUUUCAGCUUCAGUUGCUUGUGUUCACACAACAGGUGUUCUUCGUCUCGUUAAAAGAAUUAAGAUGUAAGCAAAAUAACCUGUUCAGAGAUAGCGCAGUAGUUUGUCUCAGGAAGUUAUGUGGAGGGCAGUGAAAUACCAGUUUGUCGUCGUCAUUGAAUUCUUUGAGUUUGAAGAUUAUUGUUGGCUAUUCCUAAAUGUGAUGUGUUAUGAGGCCCAAUAUGAAAGAUCAUUAGGAAAGACAGUUUAAGUUCUCUUAUCGCUGAUGGAACAACAAAAAAUUGGUAAUAGAAGUAACAGGAACUAAGAGUGAUACUUAAAUAAAACACAUUUUUUUAUAUCAUUUCAUUUUGCAGUAACAAGAAGAGCA